RNAcentral lists this ribosomal RNA (480 nucleotides) under Salmonella enterica. Its description in RNAcentral is "partial 23S ribosomal RNA". It matches the Rfam family "Bacterial large subunit ribosomal RNA", at positions 2313 to 2792 of the family's 2925-position model. Lineage: Bacteria; Pseudomonadati; Pseudomonadota; Gammaproteobacteria; Enterobacterales; Enterobacteriaceae. The record is from RNAcentral.
AAGGUUGGCUAAUCCUGGUCGGACAUCAGGAGGUUAGUGCAAUGGCAUAAGCCAGCUUGACUGCGAGCGUGACGGCGCGAGCAGGUGCGAAAGCAGGUCAUAGUGAUCCGGUGGUUCUGAAUGGAAGGGCCAUCGCUCAACGGAUAAAAGGUACUCCGGGGAUAACAGGCUGAUACCGCCCAAGAGUUCAUAUCGACGGCGGUGUUUGGCACCUCGAUGUCGGCUCAUCACAUCCUGGGGCUGAAGUAGGUCCCAAGGGUAUGGCUGUUCGCCAUUUAAAGUGGUACGCGAGCUGGGUUUAGAACGUCGUGAGACAGUUCGGUCCCUAUCUGCCGUGGGCGCUGGAGAACUGAGGGGGGCUGCUCCUAGUACGAGAGGACCGGAGUGGACGCAUCACUGGUGUUCGGGUUGUCAUGCCAAUGGCACUGCCCGGUAGCUAAAUGCGGAAGAGAUAAGUGCUGAAAGCAUCUAAGCACGAAA